UCACCAUGUUGGCCAUGCUGGUCUGAAAUUCCUGACCUCAAGUGAUCCACCUGCCCUGGCCUCCCAAAGUGCUGGGAUUACAGGUGUGAGCCACCGUGCCUGGCCUCAACCCCUUUUAAAAUAAAAAAUUUUUCACAGCCACUUUGAUAUUGACUUAAACUACAUAUGUAUUGUUACUUAAGUAUGUACAAACCUAAGACCAGUAAUAAACUCCUUAUUCUUGGAGCUUUACACAACUAAAAAUAGAUCUAUAAAUUAAAUACAAACAAGACUAUAGAAGUGGUAAAAUUCCAGUUUACAACCAAAAGCAAUGGAUGAUGAUGUUGCUUUGCUGAAACUAUAUUGCAUCAGUGUGAAUUUUAUAGUGACCAUUAAUGAAGCAUGUUUUUUUGCAUCGUAGCCAUGGGAUAACUUUUUCUACAACUCUUUUUAUCAGUUGCCUUUCAUAAGGAACAAAUGCAUCAUUUACAUAUUUAAUUCCAUUCUUUAAGUUUUUGUCUAUUGUUUGACAUCAGUGCCAUCAUAAAUGGUCAACCAGGUAAUUCAAGAUACUGCAUAUAUAUUAAGAAUCAAAAUAAGAUGCUUGUGGAAAAUUGGCAGAUCCUAAACCCUAGUUUGAAAACCACUGAACAGGUCUAUAUUUAAUGAGCCAUUCAUUUAUAAUUCAGGAAGGCCUCCAGUGUGAAGGAAGGUGAAAAUUUUGGAGUUAGAUUGGUUUAGAGCUAAUUGGAAUAGGCCAAGUGCAGGAUAAAGCAAGCUUGAAAUAAGGCAGUGGCGGGGGGGAAUGCAAGAAGAAUCCGUGCAUGUGAGUUAAGUAAAUGUACUCAAGAUGACUUGAUCAGUAGUUGGAUAUGGAGUGUAGGGUAGAGGGAGAAUUCUAGGAUGACUACAAGUUUCUUUCUUUUUUUUUCUGGAAAUGGAGUUUCGUUCUUGUUGCCCAGGCUGGAGUAUAAUGGCACUAUCUCGGCUCACUGCAACCUCUGCCUCCUGAGUUCAAGCGAUUGUCCUGCCUCAGCCUCUCAAGUAGCUGGGAUUACAGGCAUGCGCCACCAUGCCUGGCUAAUUUUUGUAUUUUUAGUAGAGACUAGGUUUCUCCAUGUUGGUCAUGCUGGUCUUGAACUCUCAACCUCAGGUGAUCUGCCUGCCUCAGCCUCCCAAAGUGCUGGGAUUACAGGCGUGAGCCACUGCGCCCGGCAAUGACUACAAGUUUCUAAUCCAGAGACUAGGCAGUUACCAGUGCCUUUUGCCCAUGAAGUCUUAGUAGGAAAACAGUGAGUUGUUUUGGACAUACCAAGAUCAUGAUUCUCAUGAGAUCCAACUGGGGGUUUCUAGUAAUGUGGUUCAGAACUGAUUGGCUCAGCCAUUGAUCUGAUCCAGCUGUGACAACCUGAAAGCCAUACUUAGCAACCCUUCACAUUAACAGUAAGUAAGUAAAGCAGUUUUUGCAAAAGAAUCAGCAAGCAAUAUAGAUUUUUUCUAAACAAUUUCGAGUUCAGUACAAAGAACAUUUUCCCUCUUAACUAUUUCAGAAUAAGUUGCUAUGUCUAGGCUAAAUGCAGAAGAAAAGAAGUGAGACAACUUUCUUUUACUCGUAAGUGUGAGAGCAUUGGAAGGACAGGAGUUUUGGGUCAUGGAGUUGGAUAAUACAACAUUUUAAAGGUGCAGAGUUCCAGGUGAGAUAAAAUCAACAGGUUACAACAGUAUGUUCCUAAAUUGGAUUGAAGUUGGUCAUUUGAAUCCAUUCAAUAAAUUUAACAUUCUACCAGGUACUGGAGAGAAAAAGGUAAUUGAGACAGAGUUCCUACACUAAAGGAACUUACAGAGCAGAAGGGAAAAUCAAGCAGAUACAUUGUUCAGACGGAGUACAAAGAAAGUAAAACAGCUUUGUCAAGGUGGAGGGUGGAGGGCGGGUCAAGUAGAGCACCUCAAAGAGGUGGGUAAACCAGAUUCUGAAUUAUGAAUAGGAACUAACCAUUCCAAGAUGAGAGGCCAUAGAGAGUGGGCAGUAAGGUCAGAGGAAGCAGUAUUUAUACAGGCUCCAAGGUGACAGAGGUCAUAACCCACCAGGGGACUGCAAGUCUUUCAGUAUAACAAGAUAGCAAGUAAAUAUAAGGCUGUAAAGCAAGAUCCAAUCAUGAAGGGCCUUGUUGAGUUUGAACUUCAUCUUACAUAGCCGUCCGUGGAAAGUCAGUGUAUUUUAAACAGGUGAGUGAGUAAAAUGGUUAAUAUGCAUUUUAGAACUUGUUCUGCGUCUACAUAUUAAAGGGAGCAAAACAAUAAACAGAAACCGGUUAGUAAGCUAUUGACAUAAUCUAGGUAGAAGGUGGUGACAAAGUUAGGUAAUGAUAGUGGAUGUGGAGAGAAGUAGAUUAACUCAGGAGUUCAAUAUUUAGUAACUGUAGGGCUUGAUGGUUAAUAUGAAUGUUAGGGGUAAAGAGGGAAUUGAAUGAUUCCGUUCCUGACAUGGGAACUAUAUAAUUUACUGAUUCAUAAAUGAUUUUUGACCAGGCAUUGUGGUACACACUGGGCUUGAGAGAAGUGAACAAGUUUAAAGUUUCUGAUAGCCUCUGCUAUUAUUGUGUAGGGUCACUAGGAGAAGUCAGACAAUGAGCACAUAAACUAGUUUCAGAUAGUACAUGGAUGGACCAAGAGUGGUGAGAGUUGGAAUAUCUGUGAAGCUUUUAGGGUAAAGUCAUAGCUGUGGGAGGGCAGGGACCCUCUUGUUACUGUACUCAACUUGCAUUGGUUUAGGGCAUUAGCAGUAGGGGAAAGUACAGAAUGACAAAAAAUUGCACAGAAACAUUUGGCACCUUUUAGAAAUAAAUUCUUCCAUUCAAAAAAUAUGAGUGAGGGCCAGGUGCGGUGGCUCACACCUGUAAUCCCAGCACUUUGGGAGGCCGAGACGGGCGGAUCACCUGAUGUCAGGAGUUCAAGACCAGCCUGACCAACACGGUGAAACCCCUUCUUUACAAAAAUAACAAAAAUUGGCUGGGCAUGAUGGUGAGUGCCUGUAAUCCCAGCUACUCAGGAGACUCAAGCGUGAGAAUCGCUUGAGCCUGGGAAGCAGAGGAUACAGUGAGCCGAGAUCGCAACUCUGCGCCCCAGCCCGGGCAAAAGAGCAAGACUCCAUCUGGAAAAAAAAAAAAAAAAAAAAAAAAAAAAAGUGCUUGCUUUGAUCGAGGCCCUGUAUUUCGGGUUACAGAAUUUCUUUUAAAACAUCUUAAUCAACAUUGGACGUAUCUUUUUAAAUGCAUGCUUCUCCACUUUCUUCCAGAGUAUAUAGAACAGUUUUUAGUGGAUAACUAUCCUGACCUAAAGUAAAUGUUAGCCUUGAGUGCUGUUUUUGAAUUGGGUAAAGCUGCUGGCAUGUCAUCCUUAUGUAGCAGGCACAAUAUUUGCAGUAUUCAGACUUCUAGACCUGGUGCUAACCAAAUGUUUCUACAUUAAGUGGCUUCAUUCUGUUGUGCUUUUUGAAUGUUUUCUAGCUUCCUUCAUCUUUCUAGCUUCCUUGAUCUUAAUUUUGCUAUUUCUGGUCAUGUUAAAGCAGGAACCUGAUGAUCAAAAACUCUAGGAAUCAAACCCUCUCCUUUUAAUCACUGUACUUGGACUUCAGUGCCUAGAUUUUGAGGCCACUGUGACUUUUUUUUUUUUUUUUUUUUCAGAUGGAGUCUGGCUGUAUCUCCAGGCUGGAGUGCAGUGGUGCGAUCUCGGCUCACUGCAACCUCCGAACCCCUGGUUCAAGCGAUACUCCUGCCUCAGCCUCCCAAGUAGCUGGGAUUACAGGCAUGCGCCACCACACCCAGCUAAUUUUUGUAUUUUCAGUAGAGACGGGGUUUCACCAUGUUGGCCAGGAUGUUCUCGAUCUCCUGACCUCAAGUGAUCCGCCCGCCUCGUCCUCCCAAAGUGCUAGGAUUACAGGCGUGAGACACGGUGCCCGGUUGACUGUUUUGUUUUCACUCACUCCUCCAUACCCCAACCUGUUUCUUGGUAGUUGAGGAUCACUAUGACUGUUUUUAUGUAGGCAGAAUAUUUAAGAAAACAACAUAAAUUUAGAUAUUUGUUCCGUAAAGUUACUAAAAAGUAAAUCUAUUAAAGGUGAUUGUCACAUAAGCCUUCCAUUUCUACAGGUAGUAACAGUGCCUGUGAUUUCAUUAGACAAAACUGAACAUAUAAAAAUGUAGUUGGCUACCUGGGAGCCUGAAGCACUUUGUUUACAGAUACUUUCUUAGGGCUAACUCAAAACACAUCUAACCAGAACCAUGCCAUAAGCUUGCCAGAGAAUGACAAUGCAUUUAAACAUCGUAAAUAGCCAAAUUUCAUCUUCCCCACUGAAGACAGCAUUUCAGAUACAAGAACAUGGCCUGGUAAUGUUUUUCCUGAAGAGAUCCUACUUGUAUCAAAGUCAGCCUGUAGCAGUGCAAACUACUGACUUAAAGUUUAGCAGCUAGAAAUAGUCUGAAAAGAUUCAGAAAAUUGAAGUUAUUUUACCCAUGAAACAAACAUCUGCCCUUUUAGAGCAAGCAGCUCCUUAUACCUUAUGAGAAAACUUAAGAACAAAAAGUUAGCUUUUCAUUUUAAGGUACCAUGGUUGAUUUUAGACAGUUCUCAUAUCUUCAGAGUUCAAAUUAUUAUCCUUGGGGAAAAUUAUGCAGGACAAAAGUGUUUUUUAGAAAUAUUUAGCAAAAAUGUAUGAAUUACUGCCUUUUCAUAAUGCAGCCAGGACUUUCAUUGGAAUAUUUGAUUAUCCUAUGACCAACUCACUUAUACCUUCCACAGAAUAAUAUAGCACAACGUGUAGUAUAUACAAGCUCCAGAAUGCUUGGGAGAUGUACCUCACUUUAGUACUAAUUAGCUGUGUAACUUUGAGCAAGUUGUUUAACCUGUGUCUCCAUUCCUCUCGAGGAUCAUAACAGUCUUUCUUAUGGGGUAAAAUAAUACAUGUGGAACACUCAACAAGAUGCAUGGCACACAGUACUGUAAUAAAAGUAAUUUAGAGAAACAGAAGAUACUUUGCUUAACCCAAGAUACCUUGAGGUAAAUUUAAAAGUCACAUUUUAAAUACAUUCCUAUUGUUUUUCAUACAACUAUCACUUCUGUGGUAGUUUAAUCACAUGGUGUUUAAAUAAUCUAUGUUUAUGCCUACUUACAUAGGUUAAUAUGAACAGUAAAAAUAUUUUCAUUCACUACCCAAGCACAGUCUAUUGAAGGCACUUCCAACCAGCCCCUUAUCAGGAGGAAGAAUCCAACCUAGGACUAGUUUAUCAAUAGAUGUACUUUUCCACAGGUUGUAAUUAGUUGUAAGUAGGCAAGGUUUGGCUCUCAGGAGCUUUCAGCGGGACAUUUAUAUUUGUAAAUAAAAAGGAAAUAUUCUUUGGGCAGUGUUUCAGAAUCACCUGGGAUGAUGUGCAUGAAAAUUCCUGGCCUCCACCAAAGACUUACUGAAUCAGAAAGGAGGCAAGAGGAUGAGGAAUGCUUAAGAAUCUGCAUUAACAGACUUUACAACUGAAUCUUACAUCAUACAGAAGCAUGGAAACUACUGCCUCAAGGGAUUAUCUCAACUUGAGUUUAAACUGUUAACAGGGCUGAGAAUAUCAUGUGGUUCAGUCUUCUGAAGGAAGUUAUACAAUAAAAGCAUAGUGCCUUUGAACAUGAAGACUCCUCAAGGCCAGAAGUCCUACAAAGGAACUGAAAGAAGAGAUUCCAGAGAAUUGCUCUCCUCAUUUUUAAUAUGUAAAGUGACUGACUGUUUUAAGUCACUUCAUGAAGACUUAGUGAAGAAAACAGUGUUGUUAUGCCACUGAAUAAAGCUACUUAAACCAGAGUAAUUUUGGGAUAUUAAUCCUAGGCUACAUAAUUAAUAGGUCAUCAAAAAAAACCUGUCAGUUAUUAGGUAUAAGUUAACUUCCUAUGCCAAGUAAGGGGUCACACUUCACUUCCCCCGUUUGUAAAAUGAAAAGGUGGCCAGGCCAGUGCCAUUUAGGAUUCUCUGCUAACUGUAAAAUGUGGACUGAUUUUCUUCUGUUUCUUAUAGUCCAAGUGUAUAUAAACUUCCAGUUCUUUAAAUCAAAAUUUUUAUGCACAUAACCAUGUCAGUGUAUUGCCCUUAGUUUAAAAAUGUACAACUACAUAAAUAAAAACUAUUGUUUCUUCAAUAUUACUUGACAUUUCUUCUGUAAUUUCUUUAUUUAAAAAAGUAAAUGUAACAAGAUACUUAAAAAAGGCUAGAUACAAAAGUAGUUAAGCUGCUCACGAACAUUUAAAAUUUUCCAAAAUGUAUCUUCAAUAAUCAUGAUCUUAUAAAACAUUUUACAGUUAUCAGAAAGUGCCCAGGCUGAGUUUACAUAACUGAAAUACCUUAGUACAAAUGUCUAGUUAGAACUGAAGUGCAGUAACCUCUUGAGACUGACUGCUCAUUGAAAUAGGGAUACAAAGAAAAAGUUGAUUGUGAUAAAAGUAUUGUGCAUUGGCCCCAUCAUAUGUACAAAAAAAGUGCCCUCACUCAAAUGAGCAAAUUACAUGCAAAAUAUUAGUGAUAUCAUUUAAUAUCCUAGAGCUCAAUGCAGUCAAACCGCAAUAAAAGUGGUUUUUAUAGGUAAAAGUGAUUUCAUCUCUUAAGAUCUGAAUGUCGAGAACUUUUUUACAAGUUCCAUAUACAUGAUACACAGUUGCAGCCAACCACAAAUUAAACACCAUAAAAAAAGUUAAAAUGAAAACACAGAACAUACUUAAUUUUUUAUUUUGAAAUUCCCUAUUCCCUCUAUACAAGAACCUUUGCUGAAACAGUUUCCACAAAGGCAGCAGUGAAUUUUCAGAACAUUUACAUUUUUU
Molecule: long non-coding RNA, 6828 nt
Organism: Pongo pygmaeus (Bornean orangutan)
Lineage: Eukaryota; Metazoa; Chordata; Mammalia; Primates; Hominidae
Exons: 2
Source: RefSeq, a predicted model, not a curated record